AGAAUAGACUACCCUGGUAGUCCACGCCCUAAACGAUAGCGAACUGGAGUGUUAGGGUUACAUUUACGGGUACGUCAGUGUCGAAAGCUUAAACGUACGUUAAGUUUCCGCCGGCCGUGGGGAGGUACGGUCGCAAGAACUGAAAACUACUAAAGGAAGUUCGACGGGGGCCCGACACGAAGGCGGUGGAGUAUGUUGGUUUAAUCCGAUGCAACGCGAACGUAACCUUACCUGGCCUUGACAUCUGUCGAAUCCUGCUAGUAGAUGGCGGGAGGUGCCGGCAAGGAACGGACAAGGACAGGUGCUGCAUGGCUGUCGUC
This 320-nucleotide ribosomal RNA is filed under the name uncultured bacterium. RNAcentral's name for it is "bacterial SSU rRNA". It matches the Rfam family "Bacterial small subunit ribosomal RNA", at positions 774 to 1056 of the family's 1533-position model. The record is from RNAcentral.